This is a long non-coding RNA of Brassica oleracea var. oleracea, 238 nucleotides long. RefSeq lists it as uncharacterized. The transcript is spliced from 3 exons. The record is from RefSeq and is a predicted model, not a curated record. Lineage: Eukaryota; Viridiplantae; Streptophyta; Magnoliopsida; Brassicales; Brassicaceae.
AGUUUGUUGGAACUCUUCGGAUCCGUCUCUCGGUGGGUCAUCUCCUCGAAGCUUUCCAUCGGUGGCUCACCUCAAAACGAAAGAUACAAGGAUCAAGCUGAAGAUCGACUAAAGGUUCCAAGGUUCAUCGAGGAUAGAGCACACUGCACAAAUAAGGGGUUCAAGUAACACACAUCCACAAAUGGAAGCAAGAAAACGAUUGUCUGUGGCCUCUCAGCAAGAGGAAUCAUACCACCUC